AUACGGAGGAUGCGAGCGUUAUCCGGAUUUAUUGGGUUUAAAGGGAGCGUAGGUGGGAUAUUAAGUCAGCUGUGAAAGUUUGGGGCUCAACCUUAAAAUUGCAGUUGAUACUGGUUUCCUUGAGUACGGUACAGGUGGGCGGAAUUCGUGGUGUAGCGGUGAAAUGCUUAGAUAUCACGAAGAACUCCGAUCGCGAAGGCAGCUCACCGGGCCGGAACUGACACUGAUGCUCGAAAGUGCGGGUAUCAAACAGGAUUAGAUACCCUGGUAGUCCGCACAGUAAACGAUGAAUACUCGCUGUUUGCGAUACACGGUAAGCGGCCAAGCGAAAGCGUUAAGUACUCCACCUGGGGAGUACGCCGGCAACGGUGAAACUUAAAGGAAUUGACGGGG
This 393-nucleotide ribosomal RNA is filed under the name uncultured bacterium. Its description in RNAcentral is "partial 16S ribosomal RNA". It matches the Rfam family "Bacterial small subunit ribosomal RNA", at positions 523 to 918 of the family's 1533-position model. The record is from RNAcentral.